RNAcentral lists this ribosomal RNA (426 nucleotides) under uncultured Nevskia sp. RNAcentral's name for it is "bacterial SSU rRNA". It matches the Rfam family "Bacterial small subunit ribosomal RNA", at positions 355 to 774 of the family's 1533-position model. Lineage: Bacteria; Pseudomonadati; Pseudomonadota; Gammaproteobacteria; Nevskiales; Nevskiaceae. The record is from RNAcentral.
UGGGGAAUAUUGGACAAUGGGCGAAAGCCUGAUCCAGCAAUACCGCGUGUGUGAAGAAGGCCUUCGGGUUGUAAAGCACUUUAAGUUGGGAAGAAAAAACUUCAAUUAACACUUGAAGUCUUGACGGUACCGACAGAAUAAGCACCGGCUAACUCUGUGCCAGCAGCCGCGGUAAUACAGAGGGUGCUAGCGUUAAUCGGAUUUACUGGGCGUAAAGCGUGCGUAGGCGGUUUGAUAAGUCGAUUGUGAAAGCCCUGGGCUCAACCUAGGAAUUGCGGUCGAUACUGUCAGACUAGAAAACGGUAGAGGGUGGCGGAAUUCCGGGUGUAGCGGUGAAAUGCGUAGAUAUCCGGAGGAACACCGAUGGCGAAGGCAACCACCUGGGCCUGUACUGACGCUGAGACACGAAAGCGUGGGGAGCAAACA